Molecule: ribosomal RNA, 484 nt
Filed under: uncultured bacterium
Lineage: Bacteria
Description: partial 16S ribosomal RNA
Rfam family: Bacterial small subunit ribosomal RNA
Source: RNAcentral
AUUGAACGCUGGCGGCAGGCCUAACACAUGCAAGUCGAGCGGAUGAAGGGAGCUUGCUCCUGGAUUCAGCGGCGGACGGGUGAGUAAUGCCUAGGAAUCUGCCUGGUAGUGGGGGAUAACGUCCGGAAACGGGCGCUAAUACCGCAUACGUCCUGAGGGAGAAAGUGGGGGAUCUUCGGACCUCACGCUAUCAGAUGAGCCUAGGUCGGAUUAGCUAGUUGGUGGGGUAAAGGCCUACCAAGGCGACGAUCCGUAACUGAUCUGAGAGGAUGAUCAGUCACCCUGGACCUGAGACACGGUCUCGACUCCCACGGCAGGCAGCAGUGGGUAAUAUUGGACGUUGCGCGAAAGCCCAGUCCAUCCCUGCCGCGUGUUGGUCGCAGCUCCUCGGGUUCUAAACCACUCUACGGUGUGAGAAAGCGGAGCACGUUGAUACCUUCCUGUUUUGACGCUAGCACCACAAUCUGCACCGGCUAGCUUCGUU